GAGGCAACUGCCUGGCCAGUGUGGAGGCAGCUUUAGUCCCUGGGACCGUUUCUGUGCCCAAGGAGAGGGAGGGCAGGGGAAGGAUGGAAUUUCAUCUAGAGUAGCAGGUCCUGGUUACCUGGUAAAUUAUGCAUCAGGACUGGGCUAGCCACUGCCUCCGUUUUCUCUGGGCUCCUGAGAUAACCUCCACCUGCCUCUAGAUUCUGUGCCAGCUGAUCGUAUCUAUCUCAUCAACUCUUGUUCCAUCAGGAAACUGCAUCUUGGAUUCUGGGUCAACAUCAUCCCCGCGGUGGAUCCAUUGGUGAGAGCAAUAAUGAAGCAGGUUUGCCACCAGGCUCCCAAAGAAGUGGGAACACUGACUGCAAAGGGCACAAUCUGAUUGGAUGAAAAGCGAGGCCUCAGAAGCAUUGGCACGUGUCCGCGAAGAGCCUAGCUGGAGAGACCCAGACACAUGCAAAUGGCCUUCUGAGUUCAUUCUUGAUGGAGAGGAGCUGGAAGAAUCCACUAAGGACAAAUUGCCCUGUGGAUUUAGUAAGAGAUCUGUAUAUAAUGGAGCCCCCUGAGGCUGGCUUGUUAAAGUAGUAUCUUCUGCUUCCCUGACAGCAAAUUCGUGUGCACUGUUUACUGGGAAAUAAUUAUGGUUUUCGGCACUGGCAAAUGGAGUCCUAUUUCUAAUGGGAGACAGUGGUUGGCAAACAUGAAACCCUGAGUUUCCCUCUGAGUCUGAGCUGUGAACUGAAGUCGAUGACAUUGACAAGUCUAAUGGAAUAUCAUCUCUCAGAGCAGAAUGCAUGAAUGAUGCAGGAGGGUUAUAGGAUGAAUUCACUGAUGAUCUUGGAGAUAUUGGUCUGCCAGAAAUAAAGUAGUCAAGAGAAUUUUGAGAACUGUUUAAAUAGUCUUGCCAGUAUCCUUCAGAAUCAUGGGUGCCAGGCCUAUGUUCCACAGAAAUACAAUCACUCCAUGCAUUUUCAGCAUUGACACCAACCUCUUGUCUGGGCUCGGAUUUGGUGUCCCACGAAAGAGGGCUCUUUUUCGCAUUUUCACUGCCACCUCUGUCCUUCUCUGUAGCAGAUUCCCUAUCAGGCAGCCAGGGGUCUUGGGACAACCUUUGCCCAGCAGAAGGCCGCUCUGUUGCUGGCUCCAUUGCAUUGCUUAUUCUCAAUGAGCCAUGACUGGGCUCACUUCUUCUUGAAGAAUGACCUCUGCAAUUUUCAGCAUUUUCUUCAAAAUUUUUAUUUUUGGCCUGAGGGGUCGAUGUCCCCCUAAAUCUACUUCUUUUGUGAUGGGAAGGAGAACGGGGUGAGCGCAUACCAACCCACAGACAUUCUUCAACCUGGGUUUCCUCUUCAGUGUCAUCGCUUUCUCUUCUGCUGUUCAAUGACAAAAUGGAAUAGAAGUCUUCAUCUCGGAACCUAAAUGAUGCCUUUCUUGGCCCUCCUACAGUGGUGGGUGUGAGUGGUGGCCCCGAGAACUCACUCAAUACUUGAGGACUAUUUGUUCCUUGGAAGGCCUGGGACAGGGCUGGAUGCAGCUCACUCUGGGAAGGAGCACUCGGGUCUCCUUUUUUGGCUCUAUCAGGGGGGUUCUCAGUCAUUGGCUGUGACGAUGGGACCAAGUUUCUUCUCUCUCGAUUUGGCCUCUUCAGCUUAGUGUUACACAUCAGGACUUCUUGUUGAACUACUUGAUCUGCAUUGAGAAAAGACACAUUUAUCAUUCCAGUAAAAGGGCCCAUGGAUGAAAGGCCUCUAGCACCAAGUGCAAAAUUGCCCUUUAAAUGCAACAGAUAAGACCUAGAGAAGAAAACAGACACGGUCAAAAUGGCUGGAGGUACAAGAGGAGCAGAGCCCAGCAGGCUUCAUUUUACUGCCCCGUAUUCUCCUUUGUACCCCUGUGGUCCUAGGGAAACGGGGGGACCCUGAGGAUACAGAUUCUUUCUGCAGAAGCUCCCGGAAGACUGGCCCUGGCCCAGCCCCAGCCAGUCAGGACUGAUGAUGCGCAAACCUCACACUAAAUACUGGCUUUUGUUCCAUACGUACUGAAAGGGAAAACCACCACUCUGGGAAUGACUUCUACAAAAACCACCAGCCCUUUCUCAUCCACGUUCAUUCAAUGUACAUUUAUGACACCCUGCCUCCCACGCAGCUUUACAAGAACUUAAGAGAAGUACAACAUGUCUUGGCAGAUCAGGAGGAAGGCUAUAGGAGCUGGCGCCCGGGGAACACUGGGGAUUUUGGUCAUGUUUACUAUUUAGUGAAAAUAAAAAUUAUAAAUCGCUCAUGAAA
Molecule: non-coding RNA, 2282 nt
Filed under: Pan troglodytes (chimpanzee)
Lineage: Eukaryota; Metazoa; Chordata; Mammalia; Primates; Hominidae
Source: RNAcentral